Empidonax traillii (willow flycatcher) is the source of this 304-nucleotide long non-coding RNA. RefSeq lists it as uncharacterized. NCBI's taxonomy places the organism in Eukaryota, Metazoa, Chordata, Aves, Passeriformes, Tyrannidae. The record is from RefSeq and is a predicted model, not a curated record. The transcript is spliced from 2 exons.
AAAACAUGGGAGAAAUGAAGAGGAGUGUCUGACAGAUUUUGCAAGAUGGCAAUUAGCUGGGACGUGUCCUUGCUGGGUUCAUCCAGAUGAGAAGUGACAUGGACUGGUACUAAACACUGAAAGGAGGAAUGCUGCAGAGAUCCUUGAUUUUCAUUUGUCUUUGUCUGAAGAUGUAAAAUACAUUUGCCAUAUUUACCAUUUCAAGCUAAUUUCUCAAUAUAUUCAUUUAUUCAUUUGGGAUAUAGGAUUGUGAAGGGCUCUGCUGACUUUCAGACACUGCUAUUAAAAAUGGAGAUAAACCUGC